UUAAAGAUGAUUUAAAUGUUUCAUUUUUUACAAAUAUUUGGAAGACAGCUCCUAGAUUUUUGUCAUUUCAAACUCUACCAAAGCAGGCUUUACAAUGUAAAAGACUCUUGGCCAUGUAAAUGUAUUUCCAUUUUAUAAUUCUUUAUCAGAAGGUGCUAAGGAAAAAACAAAUAAAGUAAGUGGGCUAUACUAUAUACGGGAAUUUUUUUUUUCCUAAAUGUACUCAAAGGUUUCCCCAUGUUUUCAAAUUCUAUCUACUAAGAAAGAAAAGUUUAAAUUGUUGCCAAUUCUUACUACGAAUGAAACUAGUGGAAAUAAUGGUUUACUUUCUUACAUUCAAAAAAACAAAGGAGAAGGGGAAAAGGAAAAAGAAAUAGUGUAAAGGAAGACAGGGAGGGAAAGGUACAGAUUCCAGUGCUCUCUUCAAAAGGCCACUAUAAAUACAAUGUGCAAUGAAAUGAUUUGUUCAUCUGGCUUCAACAUUUGCAACAACUGUCAAAGUUCAUUUCUGACAUAAUUUUUUUACAUUCUAAAGAAUUUUUUUUCCAUAAAAACAUUCAAUCCACAAAUUAGUAACUAUAUAGCUCCAAUUCAUUUGCCCAGAUUAUGAUUUAGGGAUUUAAAUAAUUUUUAAGUUGGAAGGGAAAAGGGGAGAGAGAUAAUUCCUUUUUCAUUGUUUAUCCAAUUUAUUUCUAAACCACAUGAUCUUUGAAAAAUGAUUGCUACAAAGUAUACAUGACAAACAUUCUAUUAGCAUUUACUCCCAUUCUCCAAGAAUGAAGUUUCACAUAUAUUUAGCAAAUUCUCACAUUUCAGAAUCAUUCCAAAUGAAAACUAGUUUUUGCUCCCAAAUUCUGUAACCUAGACUAAAACAUACUGCAACUUUUUUUUAAAAAAUUGGUCUUCAUCUUUUGGAUAGAUUUACUUUAAUGUUCUAACUAUAUAUUAUUUUCAAGGAUAACACAUUUUACAGUUCAAAUAUUGACAUUAUUGAUGCAAUCAUACUGUAGAACAAAAAAGUGUCUAAAAGAUUUCCCUCUUCUGGUCUUUUGUACAUAACGGUUAUAACUGAGUUCAAGAUAAUUUUUCCCACCACACACACACAUUAUAAAGAUUUUGAUUUCCACAAUUUCAUAGAAUGUAGAAGAAAUUACACCUAAUAUACAUAAAAUCAAAUUAUAUUGCUUUUUAAAAAACAUUAGAAAAGGUAGUUGUUUCCAUUUAUUUUUUUUUUUUUUGCAUGAUUCAGAGAUUUAAAAAUGCAAGAAAAUCUAACUCGCAUGAUAGUUACUGUAGUUGGUGACUGGGAGGAAAAAAAAAUCAAACUGUGAAUAUUCAUUAUGCAAAUAAAAAUAUCAAAUGUUGGUGCAGUUAUCAAAAUGAAAGCAGUCAAUAUUUUAGUUCUAAAAUUACAUACUUGUUUGUACAAAGCACAUAAAAAAAUUCUUGCUAACCCAACUGCUAAUUGUAAGGUCUUCAGAAAAUUUAUCAUUU
This 1494-nucleotide long non-coding RNA is filed under the name Sarcophilus harrisii (Tasmanian devil). Its description in RNAcentral is "lncRNA (ENSSHAG00000030667.1)". Lineage: Eukaryota; Metazoa; Chordata; Mammalia; Dasyuromorphia; Dasyuridae. The record is from RNAcentral.